RNAcentral lists this ribosomal RNA (550 nucleotides) under uncultured bacterium. Its description in RNAcentral is "bacterial SSU rRNA". It matches the Rfam family "Bacterial small subunit ribosomal RNA", at positions 355 to 896 of the family's 1533-position model. The record is from RNAcentral.
UGGGGGAUCUUCCGCAAUGGACGAAAGUCUGACGGAGCAACGCCGCGUGAGUGAUGACGGCCUUCGGGUUGUAAAGCUCUGUUAAUCGGGACGAAUGGUUCUUGUGCGAAUAGUGCGAGGAUUUGACGGUACCGGAAUAGAAAGCCACGGCUAACUACGUGCCAGCAGCCGCGGUAAUACGUAGGUGGCAAGCGUUGUCCGGAAUUAUUGGGCGUAAAGCGCGCGCAGGCGGAUUGGUCAGUCUGUCUUAAAAGUUCGGGGCUUAACCCCGUGAUGGGAUGGAAACUGCCAAUCUAGAGUAUCGGAGAGGAAAGUGGAAUUCCUAGUGUAGCGGUGAAAUGCGUAGAUAUUAGGAAGAACACCAGUGGCGAAGGCGACUUUCUGGACGAAAACUGACGCUGAGGCGCGAAAGCCAGGGGAGCGAACGGGAUUAGAUACCCCGGUAGUCCUGGCCGUAAACGAUGGGUACUAGGUGUAGGAGGUAUCGACCCCUUCUGUGCCGGAGUUAACGCAAUAAGUACCCCGCCUGGGGAGUACGACCGCAAGGUUG